Molecule: long non-coding RNA, 2155 nt
Organism: Conger conger (European conger)
Lineage: Eukaryota; Metazoa; Chordata; Actinopteri; Anguilliformes; Congridae
Exons: 3
Source: RefSeq, a predicted model, not a curated record
CACAAUGUGGCAGGAAAUAUGACUCAUUCAGUAUAUGGUUGAAUACAAAGAUAUCGUUGGAGUUUUCAGUUGGAGCAAAAACCGCCCAAUGCCACUGAACCUUCUGGAUCAAUAUUUGUUGAGAGCUGAUGAUGGAAAUCAAGCUGUGUGUCUGGCUGGUCAGCAGUCUGAUUCACAUGCUCUCAGGAUGUUCUCUAUCUGAAUUCAGAGGAGUCACUGGGUACACAGGAGGCUCCGUGGUCCUGCCUUGCUUCUGCACUGAUGGAGGGACAAUACCGAGAUCUGCCAGAUGGUAUUUUCAACCAGGUCUUUCCAGUAUCUUACUUUGGUCACGUCGUCGAACGGUCGACCACUACAAAGACCGGUUGUUGAUUUCUGACGCCCCUGGAAACGUGUCUCUCCGUCUCUCAGAUCUCACUCUGUCAGAUGGGGGAACAUACAGGUGUGAAGCAGAUGGACACAACACCUACAGGGACAUCACUCUCACAGUUGAAGUAGGCUGUGUUUUGCAUGAUUCUGGACCCAUACACAUCACUGGAUUCAAAGGACACCCAGUUGUCCUGCCCUGUGCCUGUACUGAUGUGCAGAAGAAACCUGAACUUAUCAAAUGGACUGCAAUGACAGAACAACAAAGCGCUGUUAUAUUUCCACCACAUCCUUCCAGUGGCAGAGUGCAGCUGUUGGACUCUGUCUCCCCUGGAAACCUGUCUCUCCAUCUCUCAGGUCUAACUCCGUCAGAUGGGGGAACAUACAGGUGUGAAGCUGAUGGACAGUAUAAAGAAAUCAUUCUCACAGUUAUACAUGAAUUUCAAGAAUUUUGUUUAAAAGUUUAAAUGGGUUGUGUGGGUAACACUUUAUAAUAACAAUCCUUUAUAAGUCAUUUAUAAGCUGCUAGUUCAUGAUGAACUAAUCAUUAACAAAUUAUUAAUUACAUUUGUAAUUAUUAAUAAAUAAUUUGUUAUUUUAUAGAUAAUAUGUUGUAAGUCACAUAUAAACUAUGAACUGAUCAUUGGUAAAACAUAGGUAAUUAUAUUUUAAACAAUGAUUUAUGUUAACUAAACAUUUACAUGUUUUGUAGAUUACUCUUACCAACAAUUAUUAAAUACAUCUGUAAAUGAUGAAUACAUCAGUUGUUCUUAUAUUGAUGACAUGUUGUAAAUCACCUAUAAAAUAUGAACUAAUAAUUUAUAACUGAUUUGUAAACGAUUUGUAAACAAAUGGUUAUCAUGUUAACUAAACAUUCACAAAUAAUCUGUAGCUGAUCUAUGGAACAUAAUUUGUAAAUGGUGGUGUGGCCAGCAGGGAUGGCACCAUUCAUCUUGCUCCUGGACUGGUUGAAGGUCAGCAAGGAUGGGCUUGGUUAGUACACGGAUGGAAGAUGUCCAGAGAAAUUUCUGCUGGAAGUCGGCAGCAUUCUUCCCUCUGGUCAAAUAAGCCCCGACACAGUGAUGUUUGGGAGGCCAUCUUUUGAAUUAGACAUUAACCAUGGCAUACCACUUUUCACCAUUCUAUGCAAACUCUAGAGACUAAUGUGCAUGAAAAUCCCAGGAGAUCAGCAAUUUCUGAGAUCAAACCACCCUGUCUGCCACCAACAAUCAUGCCAUGGUCAAAGUCACUUAGAUCACAUUUUUUCCCCAUUAUGAUGGUUGAUGUGAACCUUAACUGAAAAUGAAUGAAUUCAAGUUCCUGUUAUUUUAGUUUGUACACAUUAAAGAGUGGGUAAUACAUUACUUCAAUAAUCAAUCGCCAUAAGACAGACAAACACGACAUAACUGUCACAAGUUGGCAUAACAGAUGACGUCAGGUUAUGCUUAAUGACAUAAAACUCAAAUCAAAAUAUAAAGAUAGAGAAUGUGCCAAAGUAAUAUUAAAACAUUUGACAAUAUAUUUUCAUCAACCAGCUUGAACAGUAUGUGAGUCUAUCAAAGAGAAUUAGGCUUUAAACGUUUGCAUUUUAACUAGCCACAUGGGUGGCUAUGUUAGCUAAGGUUAGCUAGCUAGCUUACCCAGCUAGCUAGUUCCAGGUAGAAAUGGUAUACAUGUUGAUAAAAGACCAACAAAGCCUGAUUCCCAAUACUUAUUAAGUAAGAUAUUGUUGUUGUUGUUUUUUUGUAUUAGCUAUUGUAUUGUUGUACUCAGGGUAUUCUAGUUGUCA